AUACGGAGGAUGCGAGCGUUAUCCGGAUUUAUUGGGUUUAAAGGGAGCGUAGGUGGGAUAUUAAGUCAGCUGUGAAAGUUUGGGGCUCAACCUUAAAAUUGCAGUUGAUACUGGUUUCCUUGAGUACGGUAUAGGUGGGCGGAAUUCGUGGUGUAGCGGUGAAAUGCUUAGAUAUCACGAAGAACUCCGAUCGCGAAGGCAGCUCACCGGGCCGGAACUGACACUGAUGCUCGAAAGUGCGGGUAUCAAACAGGAUUAGAUACCCUGGUAGUCCGCGCAGUAAACGAUGAAUACUCGCUGUUUGCGAUACACUGUAAGCGGCCAAGCGAAAGCGUUAAGUAUUCCACCUGGGGAGUACGCCGGCAACGGUGAAACUCAAAUGAAUUGACGGGG
This 393-nucleotide ribosomal RNA is filed under the name uncultured bacterium. Its description in RNAcentral is "partial 16S ribosomal RNA". It matches the Rfam family "Bacterial small subunit ribosomal RNA", at positions 523 to 918 of the family's 1533-position model. The record is from RNAcentral.